UACGUAGGGGGCGAGCGUUAUCCGGAUUCAUUGGGCGUAAAGCGCGCGUAGGCGGCCGCCUAAGCGGAACCUCCAACCCCGGGGCUCAACCUCGGGCCGGGUUCCGGACUGGGCGGCUCGAGUGCGGUAGAGGAGAGCGGAAUUCCCGGUGUAGCGGUGGAAUGCGCAGAUAUCGGGAAGAACACCGAUGGCGAAGGCAGCUCUCUGGGCCGUCACUGACGCUGAGGCGCGAAAGCUGGGGGAGCGAACAGG
Molecule: ribosomal RNA, 252 nt
Filed under: uncultured bacterium
Lineage: Bacteria
Description: partial 16S ribosomal RNA
Rfam family: Bacterial small subunit ribosomal RNA
Source: RNAcentral